CGUGUCCUUACCCUCACAGUGUCGUCGUCAGCUAUCACAGGUCUGCAUUUUCUGAUCACAUCACUUGUACAACUUCCAUAUUAGCAGCCAACUUGCUUUGGAAGACAAAGAAGUUUUGAAAAAAAAUAAGACGUGGGAUUAUUUCUUAUUGGCCAAGCUUAUCAAAGAGAAAGUAAUAAACCGAACAUUAGCAAUCUGCCUCUCUGCUGGGCUGCUAAAGAGUUCUCGCGUUUUCAGAAUAGACGAGAUGUUUGCAUGUGUCCCAACACACUCUACUCCUCCCCAGCUUGAAAAGACUUUUAUAAGCCCAGAGUGUCUAGGGAACGAUGGGGAAUAAAAUCUCCAGUGGGCUCCAUGUGACUGGUCGCAUCCCAGUUCAUUUCCAGGAGACAGGGCAGCAUGCACAAGACGCCAGCACAAAGUGGCCAUUCUUCAGGAUUUCCUCACGGGGCAUCAAUGCCAGGGCCUGUGCGGUGGUAGUGGCUCUCCAGCCAUCUCAUCAAGCGCUCCCACAGAAGAGAAACUGAAAUCUUGGUCUGAGGCAGGACAAUCCCGAGGAAGGAUGGUCCCCUACUAACCUUCCUUCUCUUAUUUUCUGAACUGAGGGCCAUCCUAACACCUUCCAGUGAACCUCCCAGCAGGCCACCUUCCCACAAAAGAGUGCACACAUGCUCCCCCGAGAGUCUCCAUUUGAACCAUUUGAACUGAGACGCAGGAUCUCCUCCUCUUGGACUGUAAACUAUCAACACUCAGAUUCUUCUGAGCAGGAACAGAGGCCUAAGAGAAAACUUUCUACUAAACCAUCCAUUCGUCUUCCUUUACAAUGAAAGAGAGGGGAGAUUUCUCCUCAAAGGCCUGGAAAGUCUGGGUUGGAAUCUUCCUUUCUGAGCUUCAUGUCCAAGCACUUCAAGAAGGCACAUAGACUACUUCCUAUUCAGAUUCAUGUCCUCAUUUGCAGAACCUGCAAGGUUGAGCCUUUCUGUGCGUUGACAGAGCCUCUAAGAUGGUAUCAUAGGCAACACACGUCACAACUACCUCAGGACUGCACAAUUAGUGAGGUCACCAAGUGGGAUUCAUGUAUGAUUGGUGCCGUGGCCCUUAAAGGGCAUCUCUGCAGGAAAGGACCUAUUUCCUGUCAUUCCCACGUGGAGAUGGGACAAUAGAGAUGGGCAGCCGUAUUACAUGUUUAGUGGUAGUUCCCAACAUGUGCUUUAUAACAAAGAAUGUCAGGAGGCCCCUUGGAGAGAAACAAAGGGGCUUGCAAGGGGGCUCAUUCUUGAUUCAGAGUCCAAGUGAGAAGAUCUGUUCUGUUGAGAAGGCGGCCUGGUGUUUCCAAAUCAGGACAAAAGAGUCAUCCUGAGUCUUAUCAUUCCUUCUUCCUCUGGUUUUGAGUUGAGCCUGAGGGCUCAGGUACAUACAUACAUACACACACGCACGCACACACACACACACACACACACACACACACACACACACACACCAUUUCCUAGUGGAAUUCUGUGCUGCAGACCAAAUAUUGACAGAAUCAUCCAAGUGUCUCUUUGCCCUGGGGCAGUUGAGUUGAGUUACAUACACCAAAGAGAGGCAACAAAUAAGAAAAUACUUUCAUUUAUCUCAUUGAGAAGAAACCCUUAUUAGGCCUUAAAAAGAAGGCAUGAGCAAAUAUGAGAUUAAUAUAAACGAAGGAGGGGCGCGGUUUCUGCUUUAUGUGUUGAUAAGCCCCUUUCCCCUCUCUCCCCCUUUCAUACUAAUUAUUAUUAUCAUUAUUAGUAUUAUUUUACCCCUCAAUUGCCUUCGGAUGUUAUCCAAGAGGAAGAGCUCUGUCGUCUGGGGAAAGCUCCACAGUAUUGUUUAUUUCAUGUAAUAAAAUGUAUGUAAUGAUCAUGA
Mesocricetus auratus (golden hamster) is the source of this 1887-nucleotide long non-coding RNA. RefSeq lists it as uncharacterized. The transcript is spliced from 3 exons. The record is from RefSeq and is a predicted model, not a curated record. NCBI's taxonomy places the organism in Eukaryota, Metazoa, Chordata, Mammalia, Rodentia, Cricetidae.